This 404-nucleotide unclassified non-coding RNA is filed under the name soil metagenome. RNAcentral describes it as "partial contains 5.8S ribosomal RNA, internal transcribed spacer 2, and large subunit ribosomal RNA". The stretch from base 1 to 122 matches the Rfam family "5.8S ribosomal RNA", at positions 35 to 154 of the family's 154-position model. The record is from RNAcentral.
GAUGAAGAACGCAGCGAAAAGCGAUACUUGGUGUGAAUUGCAGAAUCCCGUGAACCAUCGAGUUUUUGAACGCAAGUUGCGCCCGAAGCCGUUAGGCCGAGGGCACGCCUGCCUGGGUGUCACAGAUCGUUGCCCCAAUGCCAAUCGCCUCACUUUGUAGGUAUUUGCUUGGGGUGAAUGUUGGCCUCCCGUGAGCUUUGUCUCACGGUUGGUUGAAAAUCGAGUGCAUGGUGUCGGGUGUACCAUGAUGGAUGGUGGUUGAGUGAUGAUGCUCGAGACCAAUCAUGGGUAACUCCACCAGAAUUGGGCUCGGUGACCCACAUGCGUCCCUUGGAUGCUCCCUAAGGAGACCUCAGGUCAGGCGGGGCUACCCGCUGAGUUUAAGCAUAUCAAUAAGCGGAGGA